UGUAGUCAUAUGCUUGUCUCAAAGAUUAAGCCAUGCAUGUCUAAGUAUAAGCAAUUAUACAGCGAAACUGCGAAUGGCUCAUUAAAUCAGUUAUCGUUUAUUUGAUAGUACCUUACUACUUGGAUAACCGUGGUAAUUCUAGAGCUAAUACAUGCUAAAAACCCCGACUCACGAAGGGGUGUAUUUAUUAGAUUAAAAACCAAUGCCCUUCGGGGCUCUUUGGUGAUUCAUAAUAACUUUUCGAAUCGCAUGGCCUUGCGCCGGCGAUGGUUCAUUCAAAUUUCUGCCCUAUCAACUUUCGAUGGCAGGGUCUUGGCCUGCCAUGGUUACAACGGGUAACGGGGAAUGGGGCGGGGGCGGCGGGCCGGGCGCGGGGCGCGGCGGGCG
Molecule: ribosomal RNA, 387 nt
Filed under: Xylariales sp. H12
Lineage: Eukaryota; Fungi; Ascomycota; Sordariomycetes; Xylariales
Description: bacterial SSU rRNA
Rfam family: Eukaryotic small subunit ribosomal RNA
Source: RNAcentral